CAGCCGCCGCGGGAAUACGUAGGGUGCGAGCGUUAAUCGGAAUUACUGGGCGUAAAGCGUGCGCAGGCGGUUAUAUAAGACAGAUGUGAAAUCCCCGGGCUCAACCUGGGACCUGCAUUUGUGACCGUAUAGCUAGAGUACGGUAGAGGGGGAUGGAAUUCCGCGUGUAGCAGUGAAAUGCGUAGAUAUGCGGAGGAACACCGAUGGCGAAGGCAAUCCCCUGGACCCGUACUGACGCUCAUGCACGAAAGCGUGGGGAGCAAACAGGAUUAGAUACCCCCGUAGUCCCUGUCUCUUAUAC
RNAcentral lists this ribosomal RNA (301 nucleotides) under uncultured bacterium. RNAcentral describes it as "partial 16S ribosomal RNA". It matches the Rfam family "Bacterial small subunit ribosomal RNA", at positions 509 to 807 of the family's 1533-position model. The record is from RNAcentral.